UCUUCCCUCUUUCUUCGUGCCUAAUACAUGCAAGUCGAGCGAACAGACGAGGAGCUUGCUCCUCUGACGUUAGCGGCGGACGGGUGAGUAACACGUGGAUAACCUACCUAUAAGACUGGGAUAACUUCGGGAAACCGGAGCUAAUACCGGAUAAUAUAUUGAACCGCAUGGUUCAAUAGUGAAAGACGGUUUUGCUGUCACUUUUAGAUGGAUCCGCGCCGCAUUAGCUAGUUGGUAAGGUAACGGCUUACCAAGGCAACGAUGCGUAGCCGACCUGAGAGGGUGAUCGGCCACACUGGAACUGAGACACGGUCCAGACUCCUACGGGAGGCAGCAGUAGGGAAUCUUCCGCAAUGGGCGAAAGCCUGACGGAGCAACGCCGCGUGAGUGAUGAAGGUCUUCGGAUCGUAAAACUCUGUUAUUAGGGAAGAACAAAUGUGUAAGUAACUAUGCACGUCUUGACGGUACCUAAUCAGAAAGCCACGGCUAACUACGUG
RNAcentral lists this ribosomal RNA (497 nucleotides) under uncultured bacterium. RNAcentral describes it as "partial 16S ribosomal RNA". It matches the Rfam family "Bacterial small subunit ribosomal RNA", at positions 36 to 507 of the family's 1533-position model. The record is from RNAcentral.